UACGUAGGGUGCAAGCGUUAAUCGGAAUUACUGGGCGUAAAGCGUGCGCAGGCGGUCUUGCAAGACAGAUGUGAAAUCCCCGGGCUCAACCUGGGAACUGCAUUUGUGACUGCAAGGCUGGAGUGCGGCAGAGGGGGAUGGAAUUCCGCGUGUAGCAGUGAAAUGCGUAGAUAUGCGGAGGAACACCGAUGGCGAAGGCAAUCCCCUGGGCCUGCACUGACGCUGAGAAGCGAAAGCAUGGGGAGCGAACAGG
Molecule: ribosomal RNA, 253 nt
Filed under: uncultured bacterium
Lineage: Bacteria
Description: partial 16S ribosomal RNA
Rfam family: Bacterial small subunit ribosomal RNA
Source: RNAcentral